This 407-nucleotide ribosomal RNA is filed under the name uncultured archaeon. Its description in RNAcentral is "bacterial SSU rRNA". It matches the Rfam family "Archaeal small subunit ribosomal RNA", at positions 592 to 997 of the family's 1478-position model. The record is from RNAcentral.
CUUGGAACCGGGAGAGGUAAGAGGUACUACAGGGGUAGGAGUGAAAUCUUGUAAUCCCUGUGGGACCACCUGUGGCGAAGGCGUCUUACCAGAACGGGUUCGACGGUGAGGGACGAAAGUUGGGGGCACGAACCGGGAUUAGAUACCCGGGUAGUCCCAGCCGUAAACGAUGCUCGCUAGGUGUCAGGCAUGGCGCGACCGUGUCUGGUGCCGCAGGGAAGCCGUGAAGCGAGCCACCUGGGAAGUACGGCCGCAAGGCUGAAACUUAAAGGAAUUGGCGGGGGAGCACAACAACGGGUGGAGCCUGCGGUUUAAUUGGACUCAACGCCGGACAACUCACCGGGGGCGACAGCAAUAUGUAGGCCAAGCUGAAGACUUUGCCUGAAUCGCUGAGUAGAGGUGCAUGG